Molecule: ribosomal RNA, 438 nt
Filed under: uncultured bacterium
Lineage: Bacteria
Description: partial 16S ribosomal RNA
Rfam family: Bacterial small subunit ribosomal RNA
Source: RNAcentral
CUACGGGAGGCUGCAGUGGGGAAUAUUGCACAAUGGGGGAAACCCUGAUGCAGCGAUGCCGCGUGAACGAAGAAGGCUUUCGAGUCGUAAAGUUCUGUUCUUAGGGAAGAAAAUGACGGUACCUAAGGAGAAAGCACCGGCUAAAUACGUGCCAGCAGCCGCGGUAAUACGUAUGGUGCAAGCGUUGUCCGGAAUUACUGGGCGUAAAGAGUUCGUAGGCGGUCAAAUAAGUCAGAAGUGAAAGGCUACGGCUCAACCGUAGUAAGCUUUUGAAACUGUUUGACUUGAGUACUGGAGAGGAAAGUGGAAUUCCUAGUGUAGCGGUGAAAUGCGUAGAUAUUAGGAGGAACACCAGUGGCGAAGGCGGCUUUCUGGACAGUAACUGACGCUGAGGAACGAAAGCGUGGGGAGCAAACAGGAUUAGAUACCCUCGUAGUC